AUGGAGCUUAUUUACUUGGCCACUCUUAUGGUUUUAUUUUAUCUAUACUUGAUAACUCAAGAGCUAAUGUUAGGUUCUACCAUAUUGAUUUUUAGCUCCGGUUUAUUAGGUUCUGCUGUGGGUAGAGGAGCAAUUAGUGUUCUCAGUUUAUCUAAUGAACGUCUGUUGACGCAUGCAAACGAUUCCAGGAAUAUUUGGAUGGUUGAUGAGUUUCCCAUGUUUGAUGAAAUUUUACCUUUUCAAAAUCGGCCGAGGCUUGUGAGAAUAGCACCGCUGAACUGGUGGACACUUCUAUUUCAUCAUGAUGAUGGUUCAGGAACGCAGGGUGGGCGAAAGAAAACUAUGAUCGCUUUUAUCUCUGGUCAUUUGGAGCAUAUAUGGAGGGACAAAGACAGCGGGCUUUGA
Molecule: ribosomal RNA, 405 nt
Filed under: Triticum aestivum (bread wheat)
Lineage: Eukaryota; Viridiplantae; Streptophyta; Magnoliopsida; Poales; Poaceae
Description: partial small subunit ribosomal RNA
Source: RNAcentral